GACGAACGCUGGCGGCGUGCUUAACACAUGCAAGUCGAACGGAAAGGCCCUGCUUUUGUGGGGUGCUCGAGUGGCGAACGGGUGAGUAACACGUGAGUAACCUGCCCUUGACUUUGGGAUAACUUCAGGAAACUGGGGCUAAUACCGGAUAGGAGCUCCUGCUGCAUGGUGGGGGUUGGAAAGUUUCGGCGGUUGGGGAUGGACGCGCGGCUUAUCAGCUUGUUGGUGGGGUAGUGGCUUACCAAGGCUUUGACGGGUAGCCGGCCUGAGAGGGUGACCGGCCACAUUGGGCCUGAGGUACGGCCCAGACUCCUACGGGGGGCAGCGGUGGAGAAUAUUGCACAAUGGGCGGAAGCCUGAUGCAGCAACGCCUCGUGCGGGAUGACGGCCUUCGGGUUGUAAACCGCUUUCGCCUGUGACGAAGCGUGAGUGACGGUAAUUGGUAAAGAAGCACCGGCUAACUACGUG
This 468-nucleotide ribosomal RNA is filed under the name uncultured bacterium. Its description in RNAcentral is "partial 16S ribosomal RNA". It matches the Rfam family "Bacterial small subunit ribosomal RNA", at positions 28 to 507 of the family's 1533-position model. The record is from RNAcentral.